CCUACGUGAGGCAGCAGUGAGGAAUAUUGGUCAAUGGACGAGAGUCUGAACCAGCCAAGUAGCGUGAAGGAUGACUGCCCUAUGGGUUGUAAACUUCUUUUAUAUGGGAAUAAAAUGUUCCACGUGUGGGAUUUUGUAUGUACCAUAUGAAUAAGGAUCGGCUAACUCCGUGCCAGCAGACGCGGUAAUACGGAGGAUCCGAGCGUUAUCCGGAUUUAUUGGGUUUAAAGGGAGCGUAGGUGGAUUGUUAAGUCAUUUGUGAAAGUUUGCGGCUCAACCGUAGAAUUGCAGUUGAUACUGGCAGUCUUGAUUACAGUAGAGGUGGGCGGAAUUCGUGGUGUAUCGGUGAAAUGCUUAGAUAUCACGAAGAACUCCGAUUGCGAAGGCAGCUCACUGGACUGCAACUGACACUGAGGCUCGAAAGUGUGGGUAUCAAACAGGAUUAGAUACCCCUGUAGUC
This 460-nucleotide ribosomal RNA is filed under the name uncultured bacterium. RNAcentral's name for it is "partial 16S ribosomal RNA". It matches the Rfam family "Bacterial small subunit ribosomal RNA", at positions 338 to 795 of the family's 1533-position model. The record is from RNAcentral.